Molecule: long non-coding RNA, 339 nt
Organism: Melanotaenia boesemani (Boeseman's rainbowfish)
Lineage: Eukaryota; Metazoa; Chordata; Actinopteri; Atheriniformes; Melanotaeniidae
Exons: 3
Source: RefSeq, a predicted model, not a curated record
UAAACUACAGUGACGUGGGUCAGGAGCAUGAUUGUAAAGCUAAGAAACAUAUUUGCUUUGGAACAGGUGACGUGGGGGGGGGCAGAAACCAGGAAGGUGCGGGAAAUACAAUUGGUGAGGAAGUGGAACAGGUUAAUAGUUUUCUCUCCAGGGCAGCUUUGACCACAAAGUACAUGACCAAAUCAGGUCGAAGAGACAUGUUAACCAUCCUUGCCAUGGGAUGGAACCAUUGGAAGGUGGAGCUUCUCCACAAGGCACUGGUAAAGAGGUUUAUCAAGAUUACAAAGCGAGCAGAAAUUGAAGUAGCGAAUCUUCACUCAAGCAAGACCUGAACAUCUC